Molecule: ribosomal RNA, 736 nt
Filed under: uncultured archaeon
Lineage: Archaea
Description: bacterial SSU rRNA
Rfam family: Archaeal small subunit ribosomal RNA
Source: RNAcentral
AUGCUAGUCGGACGACCCCGGACUAUGGCGGGGAAGUGGCAGACAGCUCAGUAACACGUAGCUAACCUACCCUUGGGACGGGAACAACUCCGGGAAACUGGGGUUAAUCUCCGAUAGGUGUGGAUGCCUGGAAUGGUUCCACGCCCAAAGGUAUGCGCGUCCAUGUUGUGCGCACACGCCCAAGGAUGGGGCUGCGGCCGAUCAGGCUGUUGGUGAGGUAAAGGCUCACCAAACCUUUGACCGGUACGGGCCGUGAGAGCGGGAGCCCGGAGAUGGGCACUGAGACAGGGGCCCAGGCCCUACGGGGCGCAGCAGGCGCGAAACCUCCACAAUGCACGCAAGUGCGAUGGGGCUACCUCGAGUGCCGUCUGAAGAAGGCGGCUUUUCCACUGUGUAACAAGCCGUGGGAAUAAGAGGGGGGCAAGACUGGUGUCAGCCGCCGCGGUAACACCAGCUCCUCGAGUGGUGGGGAUGAUUAUUUGGCCUAAAGCGUUCGUAGCCGGCUCGGUAAGUCCUUCGUUAAAUCCAGCGUCCUAAGCGUUGGCCUGCGAGGGUGACUGUCGAGCUAGAGGGUGGGAGAAGUCAGCGGUAUUCCUGGGGUAGGGGCGAAAUCCAUUGAUCCCAGGAGGACCACCAGUGGCGAAGGCUGCUGUCUAGAACACGCCUGACGGUGAGGGACGAAAGCUGGGGGAGCGAAUCGGAUUAGAUACCCGAGUAGUCCCAGCCGUAAACGAUG